RNAcentral lists this long non-coding RNA (488 nucleotides) under Pongo abelii (Sumatran orangutan). Its description in RNAcentral is "lincRNA". The record is from RNAcentral. Lineage: Eukaryota; Metazoa; Chordata; Mammalia; Primates; Hominidae.
AUGUAAAAUAGGGAUUCAUUCCCAAACAGUCCUCAUUGUGACAGAAUUCUCAUUGCCCAGCAGGAAUGGCACUCCAGAACACAGCCAGCCUUCUGACCAAGUCACUCAGAGCAACACUCUUCUGUGAAUUUUAGUUCCUUUCUAUUGGGAAAUAUUUCAUGUAGUUAUCAUCAAUCAUCUUUUAGUUAAGUAAGCAAUUAACAGCCCACACAGUUAGACCCACAGCUACCCAGGUCAUGUCUCUGCUGUCUAAGACCCACAACACAAGAACUAAUUAAUCUAGGCUGAACUAUCUGAUCUUCAUUCAUGUCCCAGAGGUACAUACAAAUGAGCAGCAAAGGCGAGGCAUGGUGGCGCACAUUUGUAAUCCCAGCACUUUAAAGAUGGAGGCAGGAGAAUCACUUGAACCCGGGAGGCGGAGGUUACAGUGAGCCGAGAUCGUGCCAGUGCACUCCAGCCUGGGUGACAAGGAGCAACACUCCGUCUGA